UAUCUUGCAGUGACUUGAUGUGCUA
Molecule: unclassified non-coding RNA, 25 nt
Filed under: Mus musculus (house mouse)
Lineage: Eukaryota; Metazoa; Chordata; Mammalia; Rodentia; Muridae
Description: oocyte_clustered_small_RNA11700
Source: RNAcentral